ACAUGGCUUCCUGCAGGUGGAGUGGCGAUGAAGGUCACACCGCAGCUCAGAGGAGCAGGGGGAGAGGCAGCACUUCAGAGGAGUCGCCAGCUUUCUCACAGCAAAUUAAGUAAUCCGUGAAAAUGUACGUCUCUUUAGCAUUGCGUAAAUGUUUGACGUAAUUGAUCGCUCUGUUAGGCUGGUUAGUUUUAUUUUUUGGGCCAUUUUUGCAAUGUUAGAACUUGUGCGUUAAACAGGCCACCAAUCGUGUCACUAUACGGUAAUCUCUAGCACACCUUAUCAUUGUCAGCGGCAGAGGCACCCGGAUGUUGAGGGUGUAAUGCGGUGGGAUUUAGGCAGGUGAAAAAGUCUGCCAGUGUUCCUGCUGAUAGCUGGAUAGAGACCUCAACAACACAUCCAAAGCUUUGGGAGCAUUUUACCAAGAACCAUUAACAGAGAUCAAAUCUGCCUGUCCAGUGUUUGAGGAAAGGCCAUCAGAGUACACUCCACCUGACAAGGAUGCACAUUUGCCAUUUUGCAAGGCUCCUUCCUGGCAUGCCGAUUAGCGGGGCGAGAGCCGCGUGAUGAGGAGAGAGGAGCUGGGCCUGGGAGCCAGCUUUCUCCAAAGCUGUGAAUGGAGGAUUAAGCUCAGGGAGCCGGGCAUGGACAGGUGCCCAGCCGAGAUGCAGAGCUUCCCAGGUACGUGCCCCAACUACAUCUGGCCCCGUUUCCCCCUCUUACUGUUUUUUUGGCUUUAUCAAAAUACCGCUGGGUUGAGAUUGUCAGAGGAGCUUCUGAGUUGGCAGCGGCCACCAUGAUUAGUCAUAUUGAAUUAUGCGUUGAGAAGAUGUCCCUGCAUCCGACGCGCGCACACAUGCAAGUUUAUUUCCUCCCCGAAUGCCCCUCGAACCACUCGUCCUGCAUUUAUGUUUGGUGACAAGAAGACGUGGAUGUGGGUAAACAGGAUUAUAGCCACGGUUCUGCUGUCACACACAUCUCAUAAUUCGCAUGCGUUCCUGACAGGCUUGGUGGCAUUUAAUGUUACCUAACAUUUGCCUUGGCGUGCGCCACAGACACAGGUGCAAAUGAGGGAAUCAGCCGGCGGUGAACAGUGAACGGCUACGAACUCAUUUUUAUUUUUCACAGGAAUCUGACUAUCGAAUAUGAUGCAUUCUUCACAACGCUCAAAUCACUUUGCUGUAUUGUUUCAGGCAGUCUGAAUAUUACAAUCGUCUUCAUUAAUUUUAUCUCGGACAUAAACUUUUAAUACGCCCACAAUCACAUGACUUCCAUGGCAGUUUAAAUGACUCUCCCCUGUAAUUACUGAUCCAGCACUCAAUUAAAAUAAUUUGAUUGAAAUUAUUCAGUGGUUUUAAAUACAAGCCUCAAGCUACAUAACAAUAUUCAGAGCUGUGACCGAGAACCAUGUUUCUGUUUAAGAGGAAAAAACAUGUUCUUAUCCAUAUGAUAACAG
This is a long non-coding RNA of Cyprinus carpio carpio, 1453 nucleotides long. NCBI's taxonomy places the organism in Eukaryota, Metazoa, Chordata, Actinopteri, Cypriniformes, Cyprinidae. The record is from Ensembl.